Molecule: small nuclear RNA, 104 nt
Organism: Suncus etruscus (white-toothed pygmy shrew)
Lineage: Eukaryota; Metazoa; Chordata; Mammalia; Eulipotyphla; Soricidae
Source: RefSeq, a predicted model, not a curated record
GUGCUCACUUCAGCAGCACAUAUACUAAAAAUGGAAUGAUGGGGAGAAGAUUAGCAUGGUUCCUGCACAAGGACACUCAAAUUCUUGAAGUGUUCCAUAUUUUU